AGAUUGAACGCUGGCGGCAUGCUUUACACAUGCAAGUCGAGCGGUAACAGGCCGCAAGGUGCUGACGAGUGGCGAACGGGUGAGUAAUGUAUCGGAACGUGCCCAGUCGUGGGGGAUAACGCAGCGAAAGCUGCGCUAAUACCGCAUACGAUCUAUGGAUGAAAGCGGGGGACCGUAAGGCCUCGCGCGAUUGGGAGCGGCCGAUAUCAGAUUUAGGGUAGUUGGUGGGGUAAAGGCUCACCAAGCCAACGAUCUGUAGCUGGUCUGAGAGGACGACCAGCCACACUGGGACUGACGACACGGCCCAGAACUCCUACGGGAGGCAGCAGUGGGGAAUUUUGGACAAGUGGGCGCGAAGCCUGA
RNAcentral lists this ribosomal RNA (363 nucleotides) under uncultured soil bacterium. RNAcentral describes it as "bacterial SSU rRNA". It matches the Rfam family "Bacterial small subunit ribosomal RNA", at positions 26 to 386 of the family's 1533-position model. The record is from RNAcentral.